UACAGCUGGCAGACACCACCUAAAGAUCAAGAGUUGACCAUUCAUAAGGUCAAUAAACAAGUGCCGCUGUCUCCUCUCCCCUCUCACCCAUGCCACCUCCACCUCCACCUUCAAGGGCGGCAGCCAACCACCACAUCUCCGGCCACCGGAGUCUCAACCCCCCUCUCCAGCUGCUCCCAGUCUCGCGUAUCAUGUCCAUCUCCGCUCGCUGGUGGUUGCAGGUCGAGCUCCGUGGCCAACUCCUCCAUCGACGGUGAUGGCGCUAUCCCCGACGCGAUUCCUUCCAAACCAUCCCCGACGAGCCCACUUUCCUGAUGGUGGACGCAUGCCUCUCAACUCAAUGGACGGCUGCUUCUAAUAUGGAUGGAUGACUCCUCCUCACGCGGCGGAUUCGUCUCCUCUGCUCCUAGCGGCUCCUGCACAUGGAUACAAGUCACUUCAGCAAAAUGAAAUAAAUUUGGGCACUGGAAACCAGCUGCUUCUCACUCAGCGCAUUCGUCUCCUUGUCCCCUCCUAGCGGCUGCGACGACGAUGACGGUUACACUGAGGCACUAAUGCGGGGCUUUAAAGGAAUAAAAAGGAAAGAGCUGAUGACAGGCUUAGAAAGCAACAGAAGAAGAGACCAAGAUGAAGGAGUCUGAGCUAAUGCGAGGAAACCCGCUGAUCAAUAUGAAUAACUUCUGCUCCUUCGACGUGGAAGUAACAAUGCUGCCUACUAUAUUAUAUUGGUCAUGGAGAGACCAAGACACCGAAACGGUUCAUCAACUACACCGUCAUAAGUGAUUUCCACCGCAAGUUUCUGCAUAGGUACUAUGCCUCCUGCCUAGUGAGCUGCAGGUCUUCUUCCCCCAUCACCUGCAGGCAUUGACGACCACCAUGGCCUGCUGGAGCUCCUGCUCAGGUGAUGACGCACCCGUGCUCCUCCGACCAUGUUACUGCCGACGCCAUGUAGCGGCAACUUGCAGCAGGAUCCCCGACCCCUUCCCAACGAGCUGCCUGCAGGAUUCAAGCGGGCAUGUGAAGAUGAGAAGAGCAGCAAGCUGGUGGGCAAAGUCUUCUUCUGCAGUGACAACAACCUCAUGAGCACCGGGCUGCACGACCGCCUGCAGCUGCAACAGAGGAGCGGGAAUGAGCUGCAGGCACUAGACGACCAGGACCUGGCUAAGUUGCGUUCAAGUGACGAAUUGAUGGAGCUUAAGCUGGCCUUCAACGCCACAGCUAGGCAGAGGUUGGGCAGCUGGCCUGCUGACACCAAUGCCUAAU
RNA transcript from Triticum dicoccoides, 1263 nucleotides. RefSeq lists it as uncharacterized. The transcript has 8 exons. Lineage: Eukaryota; Viridiplantae; Streptophyta; Magnoliopsida; Poales; Poaceae. The record is from RefSeq and is a predicted model, not a curated record.